AAUACAUGCAAGUCGAGCGGACCGACGGGAGCUUGCUCCCUUAGGUCAGCGGCGGACGGGUGAGUAACACGUGGGUAACCUGCCUGUAAGACUGGGAUAACUCCGGGAAACCGGGGCUAAUACCGGAUGCUUGAUUGAACCGCAUGGUUCAAUCAUAAAAGGUGGCUUUUAGCUACCACUUACAGAUGGACCCGCGGCGCAUUAGCUAGUUGGUGAGGUAACGGCUCACCAAGGCGACGAUGCGUAGCCGACCUGAGAGGGUGAUCGGCCACACUGGGACUGAGACACGGCCCAGACUCCUACGGGAGGCAGCAGUAGGGAAUCUUCCGCAAUGGACGAAAGUCUGACGGAGCAACGCCGCGUGAGUGAUGAAGGUUUUCGGAUCGUAAAACUCUGUUGUUAGGGAAGAACAAGUACCGUUCGAAUAGGGCGGCACCUUGACGGUACCUAACCAGAAAGCCACGGCUAACUACGUGCCAGCAGCCGCGGUAAUACGUAGGUGGCAAGCGUUGUCCGGAAUUAUUGGGCGUAAAGCGCGCGCAGGCGGUUUCUUAAGUCUGAUGUGAAAGCCCCCGGCUCAACCGGGGAGGGUCAUUGGAAACUGGGGAACUUGAGUGCAGAAGAGGAGAGUGGAAUUCCACGUGUAGCGGUGAAAUGCGUAGAGAUGUGGAGGAACACCAGUGGCGAAGGCGACUCUCUGGUCUGUAACUGACGCUGAGGCGCGAAAGCGUGGGGAGCGAACAGGAUUAGAUACCCUGGUAGUCCACGCCGUAAACGAUGAGUGCUAAGUGUUAGAGGGUUUCCGCCCUUUAGUGCUGCAGCAAAC
RNAcentral lists this ribosomal RNA (826 nucleotides) under Bacillus sp. M_Sw_oHS_11/10_8_1(1). RNAcentral's name for it is "bacterial SSU rRNA". It matches the Rfam family "Bacterial small subunit ribosomal RNA", at positions 50 to 856 of the family's 1533-position model. The record is from RNAcentral. Lineage: Bacteria; Bacillati; Bacillota; Bacilli; Caryophanales; Bacillaceae.